Molecule: non-coding RNA, 92 nt
Filed under: Echinostoma caproni
Lineage: Eukaryota; Metazoa; Platyhelminthes; Trematoda; Plagiorchiida; Echinostomatidae
Description: Eukaryotic large subunit ribosomal RNA
Rfam family: Eukaryotic large subunit ribosomal RNA
Source: Rfam by way of RNAcentral
GUUAGCCGUUGCGACGUAGAAUUCACCAAGCGUUCAUUGUUUACUAACUCACAGGGAACGUGAGCUGGGAUUAGACCGUCGUGAGACAGGUU